AACGUAGGACACGAGCGUUAUCCGGAGUUACUGGGCGUAAAGGGCGUGCAGGCGGCGUGGUAAGUCUGAUGUGAAAGCUCCCGGCUCAACCGGGAGAGGACAUUGGAGACUGCCAAGCUCGAGGCAGAUAGAGGGAUGUAGAAUUCCGGGUGUAGUGGUGAAAUGCGUAGAGAUCCGGAGGAAUACCAGAGGCGAAGGCGGCAUCCUGGGUCUGACCUGACGCUGAGACGCGAAAGCGUGGGGAGCGAACAGG
This 253-nucleotide ribosomal RNA is filed under the name uncultured bacterium. Its description in RNAcentral is "partial 16S ribosomal RNA". It matches the Rfam family "Bacterial small subunit ribosomal RNA", at positions 524 to 776 of the family's 1533-position model. The record is from RNAcentral.